AUUGAACGCUGGCGGCAUGCCUUACACAUGCAAGUCGAGCGGGGACUUCGGUCCUAGCGGCGAACGGGUGAGGAAUGCUUGGGAAUCUGCCCAGUAGCGGGGGAUAACGUUUCGAAAGGAACGCUAAUACCGCAUACGCCCUACGGGGGAAAGGGGGGGAUCUUCGGCCCUCUCACUAUUGGAUGAGCCCAAGUCGGAUUAGCUAGUUGGUGGGGUAAAGGCCUACUAAGGCGACGAUCCGUAGCUGGUCUGAGAGGAUGAUCAGCCACACUGGAACUGAGACACGGUCCAGACUCCUACGGGAGGCAGCAGUGGGGAAUAUUGGACAAUGGGCGAAAGCCUGAUCCAGCCAUGCCGCGUGUGUGAAGAAGGCCUUCGGGUUGUAAAGCACUUUAAGCGAGGAGGAAUGGCUGAGGGUUAAUAACCUUCAGCAGUGACGUUACUCGCAGAAUAAGCACCGGCUAACUCUGUGCCAGCAGCCGCCGUAA
This 488-nucleotide ribosomal RNA is filed under the name uncultured bacterium. RNAcentral's name for it is "partial 16S ribosomal RNA". It matches the Rfam family "Bacterial small subunit ribosomal RNA", at positions 30 to 523 of the family's 1533-position model. The record is from RNAcentral.